UAGGAAAAUACAUCAGAGUGCUAAUAACCAGCAAAAUGAACGGAAAAGUAUUUAUUUUAACCCUUCUAGUACUAUCAUGUGUCAUUGCGACCGUUUACAGUUCACCUGAACCUGGAUCCGAUGCUAUUCGAACAAACCCAUCAAACUCUGCCCAGAACUCCAAUAAUCAGGACACUGAGGGCUCACAAAAACAAAACAAAAAGAGGGGCCUGCAUUUACCAUUUCUACCAUAAAUAGUGGCUGCCAUCUUGACAGUCCAGCUUAAAAGUCGUUACUCACAUACCUACUGUUGCAAUC
Long non-coding RNA from Pieris brassicae (large cabbage white), 297 nucleotides. RefSeq lists it as uncharacterized. The record is from RefSeq and is a predicted model, not a curated record. The transcript is spliced from 4 exons. Lineage: Eukaryota; Metazoa; Arthropoda; Insecta; Lepidoptera; Pieridae.